AUAUAUAUAUAUAUAUAUAUAUAUAUAUAUAUAUAUAUAGAGGUAGAUAUACCGCCUCAGGCUUGAGACGGACAUCUGUCCCCGUUAUCGCCAUAACAACUCAUAGAAAAAGACUUUUGGAUGUCCAUGCGAAUGAAAUGCCAAAACUAAGAAUCAUGGAAAACAUUUU
Long non-coding RNA from Sander lucioperca (pikeperch), 169 nucleotides. RefSeq lists it as uncharacterized. The transcript is spliced from 2 exons. The record is from RefSeq and is a predicted model, not a curated record. Lineage: Eukaryota; Metazoa; Chordata; Actinopteri; Perciformes; Percidae.